CGCAAGCCUGACGGAGCUACACCGCGUGAGGGAAGACGGCCUUUGGGCUGUAAACCUCUUUUCUCAGGGAAGAAGGACUGACGGUACCUGAGGAAUCAGCCUCGGCUAACUCCGUGCCAGCAGCCGCGGUAAUACGGAGGAGGCAAGCGUUAUCCGGAAUUAUUGGGCGUAAAGCGUCCGCAGGGGGUCUUCCAAGUCUGCUGUCAAAGCCCGGGGCUCAACCCCGACGCGGCAGUGGAAACUGGUGCGCUAGAGGGCGACAGGGGUAGAGGGAAUUCCCAGUGUAGCGGUGAAAUGCGUAGAGAUUGGGAAGAACACCGGUGGCGAAAGCGCUCUACUGGGUCGCACCUGACCCUCAGGGACGAAAGCUAAGGUAGCG
RNAcentral lists this ribosomal RNA (379 nucleotides) under uncultured cyanobacterium. RNAcentral's name for it is "bacterial SSU rRNA". It matches the Rfam family "Bacterial small subunit ribosomal RNA", at positions 376 to 770 of the family's 1533-position model. The record is from RNAcentral. Lineage: Bacteria; Bacillati; Cyanobacteriota.